This 612-nucleotide ribosomal RNA is filed under the name Rhodotorula mucilaginosa. RNAcentral describes it as "eukaryotic LSU rRNA". It matches the Rfam family "Eukaryotic large subunit ribosomal RNA", at positions 38 to 667 of the family's 3401-position model. Lineage: Eukaryota; Fungi; Basidiomycota; Microbotryomycetes; Sporidiobolales; Sporidiobolaceae. The record is from RNAcentral.
GCAUAUCAAUAAGCGGAGGAAAAGAAACUAACAAGGAUUCCCCUAGUAGCGGCGAGCGAAGCGGGAAGAGCUCAAAUUUAUAAUCUGGCACCUUCGGUGUCCGAGUUGUAAUCUCUAGAAAUGUUUUCCGCGUUGGACCGCACACAAGUCUGUUGGAAUACAGCGGCAUAGUGGUGAGACCCCCGUAUAUGGUGCGGACGCCCAGCGCUUUGUGAUACAUUUUCGAAGAGUCGAGUUGUUUGGGAAUGCAGCUCAAAUUGGGUGGUAAAUUCCAUCUAAAGCUAAAUAUUGGCGAGAGACCGAUAGCGAACAAGUACCGUGAGGGAAAGAUGAAAAGCACUUUGGAAAGAGAGUUAACAGUACGUGAAAUUGUUGGAAGGGAAACGCUUGAAGUCAGACUUGCUUGCCGAGCAAUCGGUUUGCAGGCCAGCAUCAGUUUUCCGGGAUGGAUAAUGGUAAAGAGAAGGUAGCAGUUUCGGCUGUGUUAUAGCUCUCUACUGGAUACAUCCUGGGGGACUGAGGAACGCAGUGUGCCUUUGGCGGGGGUUUCGACCUCUUCACACUUAGGAUGCUGGUGGAAUGGCUUUAAACGACCCGUCUUGAAACCGGACC